RNAcentral lists this unclassified non-coding RNA (462 nucleotides) under Hevea brasiliensis (rubber tree). The record is from RNAcentral. Lineage: Eukaryota; Viridiplantae; Streptophyta; Magnoliopsida; Malpighiales; Euphorbiaceae.
GUGAUCGUCACGCUCAGGUACUUCGCUGGCCCAUGGGUGCCUCGUUACGUCUUUCUUACCGUCGGAUAUACCUGGUUCUGUUCCCUCUCCAUCAUUAUUCUCGUCCCUGCGGACAUCUGGACGACCACAAGUCAUCUGCCAGAGACUGGAGUGAUUUCAUUCUUUUGGAGCUGGUCCUAUUGGAGUACAUUCUUACUUACCUGGGCUGUGGUGCCACUUAUCCAGGGUUUUGAAGAUGCAGGAGACUUCACUGUGAAAGAAAGACUGAAGACCAGCAUCCAUGUUAACCUGGUCUUUUAUUUGGUUGUUGGAUCCAUAGGUCUUUUUGGACUAAUUCUCCUAAUCGCGAUGCACAAGAUUUGGCAUGGCGGUGUUCUGGGUUUCGCUAUGGCCUGCUCAAAUACAUUUGGAUUGGUAACAGGUGCAUUUCUUCUUGGAUUUGGUCUGAGUGAAAUUCCCAAG